This 503-nucleotide ribosomal RNA is filed under the name uncultured bacterium. RNAcentral describes it as "partial 16S ribosomal RNA". It matches the Rfam family "Bacterial small subunit ribosomal RNA", at positions 30 to 523 of the family's 1533-position model. The record is from RNAcentral.
AUUGAACGCUGGCGGCAGGCUUAACACAUGCAAGUCGAGCGGGGUGAUGGUGCUUGCACUAUCACUUAGCGGCGGACGGGUGAGUAAUGCUUAGGAAUCUGCCUAUUAGUGGGGGACAACAUCUCGAAAGGGAUGCUAAUACCGCAUACGUCCUACGGGAGAAAGCAGGGGAUCACUUGUGACCUUGCGCUAAUAGAUGAGCCUAAGUCGGAUUAGCUAGUUGGUGGGGUAAAGGCCUACCAAGGCGACGAUCUGUAGCGGGUCUGAGAGGAUGAGCCGCGACAGUGGGACUGGGAAACGGCCCAGACUCCUCCGGGAGGCAGCAGUGGGGAAUAUUGGACAAUGGGGGGAACCCUGAUCCAGCCAUGCCGCGUGUGUGAAGAAGGCCUUAUGGUUGUAAAGCACUUUAAGCGAGGAGGAGGCUCUUUUGGUUAAUACCCAAGAUGAGUGGACGUUACUCGCAGAAUAAGCACCGGCUAACUCUGUGCCAGCAGCCGCCGUAA